UGGUUCUCUGCACAUGAGGAGCUCGGGGUCCCGGGGGAGAGUCACACAGACGUGUUACAGAAGAUAACCAAGCGGGGCUUCUUUCUCUUUCUCUUUUUCUGUCUUUUUCUUUUUUGCUGUGGGAUCUUUGUUCCCAGACCAGAGAUCGAAGCUGCCCUGACUGCAGUGGACGUGCAGAGUACUGACCACUGGACUGCCAGGGGAAGUCCCCGCUGGGGCCUGUUUCUCAGCAAACCAAGCACACUGCGUCACGGCCCCGCAGCCCUGCGACAGGCGCUGUUAGCCCGCCUCGCGGACGAGGGCUCGGGAUCUCAGCCUGUCUCAUGGACGAGGACUUGGGAUCUCUGCGCGCUAACUGACCUCGCCCACAUUCCUAGUCUGACGAGCCCGGCCCCAGAUACUGAGCCACAGCAGAGCUAAGACAAAGGAGCGUGUGAGGGUCUCUUCACUUCUGCUGGGAACCUGAGCGCCGGGCACUUACCCUCUGCAGCUGUGCCAUCUGCCGUGGCAGCCACAGCCAGGUACGCUCUUUAAACUUAACGAGUAAACAUUGUAGUUCCUCAGUGUCAUUGGCCAUGUUUUACACGCUCAGUGGCCACACAGGGUCAACAGCCACCAGGAUGGACCGUGCUAACGUAGAACACUUUCAUGUGUCACAGCAAGUCACACUGACUAGGGCUACCCUAGGGUGAAAACAGCCUCUUCCGCACAGGAAAGAGGGCUGGGGCAGAGACUCUGCUCAGGUCACUAUUUCUGUCUGUGUUCCACAUGGUGCCAAGUGCCGCCACUGAAGACUCUUCACCUGUAGACGGGACCCCUAAGUGCGUCCAUUAGGGUUUUCAUAGCAUUAAGUUUGUUAUAACACAUGUUCAGGCCCUUAGUCAGCCUCAGGAAAUAGCAGCCACUAUUAGGGAACCGUCCCACACUGUUGUUAGGAGUAUAAACUGGUGUAGCCUUUAUGAAGAACAAUAUGAAGGCUCUUUGAAAAAUUAAAAAUAGAACUACCAUACGACUGAGCAAUCCCACUCCUAAGCAUAUACCCAGAGGAACCCAUAAUUCCAAAAAACACAUGCACCCCAUUGUUCACUGCAGCACCAUUUAUCAUAGCCAGGACAUGGAAGUAACCGAAAUGUUUACUGAUAGAGAAACGCAUAAAGAAGACGUGGCACAUAUACACAUUGGAAUAUUACUCAGCCAUAAAAAAGAAUGAAGUAAUGCCGUUUGCAGCAUGGAUGGCCCAGAGACUGUCACCCUAAGCGAAGUGAGUCAGACAAAGAAAGACAAAUGUAUGACAUCACUUAUGUCUGGGAUCUUAAAGAAGGGUACAAAGGAACUUAUUUACAAAACAGAAGUAAAGUCACAGAUGUAGGAAAUGAACGUAUAGUUCCCGAGGGGUUAGGGGAGUGAGGGAUAAACUUGG
Molecule: long non-coding RNA, 1420 nt
Filed under: Bos indicus x Bos taurus (hybrid cattle)
Lineage: Eukaryota; Metazoa; Chordata; Mammalia; Artiodactyla; Bovidae
Description: lncRNA (ENSBIXG00000028470.1)
Source: RNAcentral